AGAAGUUUAGGUUACCUAGACCAGAGGCCUUCAAAGCCUCAAGAAAAUAUAUUAUAUUUAACUUCUG
Molecule: transfer RNA, 67 nt
Filed under: Tylonycteris fulvida
Lineage: Eukaryota; Metazoa; Chordata; Mammalia; Chiroptera; Vespertilionidae
Description: tRNA-Trp
Source: RNAcentral